UACGAGGGGGGCAAGCGUUGUUCGGGAUCACUGGGCGUAAAGGGUGCGUAGGCGGGUCUUUAAGUCAGGGGUGAAAUCCUGGAGCUCAACUCCAGAACUGCCUUUGAUACUGAAGAUCUUGAGUUCGGGAGAGGUGAGUGGAACUGCGAGUGUAGAGGUGAAAUUCGUAGAUAUUCGCAAGAACACCAGUGGCGAAGGCGGCUCACUGGCCCGAUACUGACGCUGAGGCACGAAAGCGUGGGGAGCAAACAGG
This 253-nucleotide ribosomal RNA is filed under the name uncultured bacterium. RNAcentral describes it as "partial 16S ribosomal RNA". It matches the Rfam family "Bacterial small subunit ribosomal RNA", at positions 524 to 776 of the family's 1533-position model. The record is from RNAcentral.